Long non-coding RNA from Peromyscus eremicus (cactus mouse), 866 nucleotides. RefSeq lists it as uncharacterized. The transcript is spliced from 2 exons. Lineage: Eukaryota; Metazoa; Chordata; Mammalia; Rodentia; Cricetidae. The record is from RefSeq and is a predicted model, not a curated record.
CAGCGACAGGAAGGGAUUCCCGGAGGAGGGCACUACAGGCUGCAGCCUCCGCCGCCUCCCACUCCCACCCCCACGGCAGCCAGGAUGGGUGUCCAGGGAAAUCACCUGCUCUGGGGUGUUUUCGAGGUCCGUGCGAGACAGACCAGGCUGACCCACGGAAAGCAGCGCGACAGGUUCGCAGAUGUUUUUCCAACACACAAGCGCGCGCACACCUGCAGGGAGGAGCACGGCUCCGCCAAGGCCAGGGAAACCAGUAUAAAGACCCAGCACCGGAUCGCACAGAGAGUCAAGGGGAGGGAGGCCCAAAGGGGUCCGGUGGACCGCUCAGUGAAUGGAAGAGCUGCAGAUAGAACCCGGGCUGGUGAACUGAGGAGUGUAUCCUCACACUUGCCAGCGAGCCUACAGGACCGUGACGUCACUUGAACCCAUGUCUUCCCUUCCGGUCAACAUUUUUCUACCCUCUACGGCGGGGUGUUUAGACGUGUCUUUGACCUUGGUUAUGACACCAUUCUUCCUAUAAAUCUCAUUUCCUCACGUUUGUUUUGUUAUUUAAGAGUCCGGACACGGCUGGGGUGUUGCACAGUGGCAGAACACGUUCACGGUAUGUCUGAGGCCCUGGUUUCAAUUCCUGGCACUUCAAAAUAAAUAAAUCAGUAAGUCAUUCAAACUGGCGUGGUAGUGCACACCUGUGACCCUAGUGCUCGGGAGACUGAGACAGGGGAGUUUUGAGUUCCAGGUCAUUCUGGACGUCAGUGAGGCCCUGUCUUAGAUACGCAUUUACAUGCAUACAUGUAUAAAUACUAUUUUACAGUCAAAUAACUCUGGUAAAUCUGAUGGAGAAAUCAAUAAAGAACUGUUGAGCUCUG